GAUGAACGCUGGCGGCGUGCCUAAUACAUGCAAGUCGAGCGAACAGACGAGGAGCUUGCUCCUCUGACGUUAGCGGCGGACGGGUGAGUAACACGUGGAUAACCUACCUAUAAGACUGGGAUAACUUCGGGAAACCGGAGCUAAUACCGGAUAACAUGUUGAACCGCAUGGUUCAACAGUGAAAGACGGUCUUGCUGUCACUUAUAGAUGGAUCCGCGCCGCAUUAGCUAGUUGGUAAGGUAACGGCUUACCAAGGCAACGAUGCGUAGCCGACCUGAGAGGGUGAUCGGCCACACUGGAACUGAGACACGGUCCAGACUCCUACGGGAGGCAGCAGUGGGAAAUCUUCCGCAAUGGGCGAAAGCCUGACGGAGCAACGCCGCGUGAGUGAAGAAGGUCUUCGGAUCGUAAGACUCUGUUAUUAGGGAAGAACAAAUGUGUAAGUAACUAUGCACGUCCUGACGGUACCUAAUCAGAAAGCCACGGCUAACUACGUG
This 497-nucleotide ribosomal RNA is filed under the name uncultured bacterium. Its description in RNAcentral is "partial 16S ribosomal RNA". It matches the Rfam family "Bacterial small subunit ribosomal RNA", at positions 28 to 507 of the family's 1533-position model. The record is from RNAcentral.